RNAcentral lists this non-coding RNA (29 nucleotides) under Mus musculus (house mouse). Lineage: Eukaryota; Metazoa; Chordata; Mammalia; Rodentia; Muridae. The record is from RNAcentral.
UCUGGUAUUCUUAUUUUGAGCUGCAGCAC